CUUUCUGCUCCUCUCAUUCUCAACACUGUUUCCUGCAAGGCCAAGCAGAGAAAGAAAUGCCUCCCUGGUCACAAUCGCUGAGAGGGAAAUUGAUUCCUCCCACCCUCUGGACCACUGGAGGCUCCCCUCAACCCACCAGCAUCUCCCUUCAUGAGCUCAAAAGCCAGGUCCCGAGGAGCCUGCACAAGACUACAGAAAUAAGAAAACGAAUAUGAGCCACGAUCUUUAAAAAAAAGAAAGAAGUCAUGGCUGGGAGUGGUGGCUCAUGCCUGUAAUCCCAGCACUUCGGGAGGCCAAAGCAGGCGGAUCACCUGAGGUCGGGAGUUCGAGACCAGCCUAACCAACAUGGAGAAAUCCCGUCUCUACUAAAAAUACAAAAAAUUAGCCAGGCAUGGUCGCGCAUGCCUGUAAUCCCAGCUACUCAGGAGGCUGAGGCAGGAGAAUUGCUUGAACCUGGGAGGCGGAUGUUGCGGUGAGCUGAGAUGGCACCAUUGCAUACUCCAGCCUGGCCAACAAGAGUGAAACUCCAUCUCAAAAAAAAAAAAAAAAAAAAGUCAACAAAGGAUAUUGACCACCCCCAGCUACAGAAGCUGGAGUUGGAGCUGCUCUGCCUGCUGCACUUUCUCUAACUCAGCACCUGCCCCGCAUGGUGGACUUAUAUGAAAACCUUCAAAUGGCUAGUCCUGGACCCCCACAGCACCUGCCUGCCUCUGCACCAACUCAGCACAGGACCUGAGUCUGCAUCAGGGAAACACCAGCCAUACCUGGGAGCAGGCCCUGCCUCCAGGUUCCUCACCCCCUUUGUUGGGGGAUGGGAGGGGCGGGACCAAGGCCCUCUGGGAACUAGUUCUCACCCCAUCUUGUUCCACAGGCUGCACAUUCCAUUCUGAGUCAAGCAGGGGGCGGGGACUGGGGGAGGUAAGGCAGAGGGGAGGAGAACAGUCGGGCCUCCUCUGGGGCGGAUCCCCCAGGGAGCUCCAGGCUUGGCAGGCAGGGAUUACGAUCAAAACCACCAGAGCGGGAGGGGAGCCAGGAGGGCUCCUGCCCAGUCUGUGGCCCCUUCCCCUCUCUCCUCUCAAGCCAAAACACUGACACCCUAGCUUGGACAUGUCCCCAGAAGACACAGGGGGACAAUGUUGGGGGUAACACCAAUACCCCUCCCCCUAACCCUGCCCCAAUCCCUUGGGCAGUUUAUAGGGCUUCAUGCCAAGGCUAUUUAAAUGCUAAGGCCACCGCUGGGGGGAGAGUGGAGGGAACUGAAUUCCAAAUUUGAUGACUUCCCAGUGUCAGACUUCCUGUGACCAAAAGGGCCUGGGUAUCCAAAGCUAUUUGGGAAGAAAGGUGGCAGCUGGAGAUACUGUCCCCACUUCUUCCUUCUUUUCCUCUACUAUGCCACACAAAUUCCGCUCCCCCAAAAAACACCCCUGGCUGAAGCCCUCAACAUGUGGGUACAGAUCUCGGGACGUCUCCUAGCUGUGCACACCCUGUGCACACCCAGGACUCUGAGAUACCAGGCCACACACACAGCACAUCCUGCAGCUUUGGUUUGCCCAUGGAUGACCUUAGGAGGAGGCAGGGGAAACCUCAGCCACUUCCUCCUCACCUCACAGCCUCUAGGAGGUCUGACCACUGCUGCUGUUCCAUCUGAGACCAUGGAGGUCCUCCCUGACAGCACCACAAUGUGCUCUUGCCAGGAGUGAGCAGGGAGGCAGGCCUCAGGGCAUUCCUAAAGCAGGAAGGACCCCCUGCCACCCACUAAGGCGGGAGAGCCACCUGGAGUAGCAGGUGGUAGCUACAAGGUUCUAUGCUGUGAGGCCAGGCUCGGUGGUUCUCACCUGUAAUCCCAGCACUUUGGGAGGCUGAGGUGGGCGGAUCACCUGAGGUCGGGGGUUCGAGACCAGCCAUGGCCAACAUGGUGAAACCCCAACUCUCCUAAAAAUACAAAAAUUAGCCGGGCGUGGUGGCGCAUGCCUGUAAUCCCAGCUACUCAGGAGGCUGAGGCAGGAGAAUUGUUUGAAUCCAGAAGGCGGAGGUUGCAGUGAGCCAAGAUUGCACCACUGCACUCAGGCCUGGGCGACAGAGCAAGACUCUGUCUCAAAAAAAAAAAAAAAAAAAAUGUUCUAUGCUGUGGACCACACCACAGGCUGGACAGAAAUCUUUUUUUUGUUUGUUUGUUUUUUGAGACGGAGUCUUGCUCCGUCACCCAGGCUGGAGUGCAGUGGCUCGAUCUUGGCCCCGGGUUCAUGCCAUUCUCCUGCCUCAACCUCCCCAGCAGCUGGGACUACAGGCACACGCCUCCACGCCCGGCUAAUUUUUUGUAUUUCUAGUAGAGACAGGGUUUCACCGUCUUAGCCAGGAUGGUCUCGAUCUCCUGACCUCGUGAUCCGCCCGCCUUGGCCUCCCAAACUGCUGGGAUUACAGGCGUGAGCCACCGUGCCCGGCCCAGAAAUCUUUUCCUAGGGGAGCUGCAAAGGCUUCAUCACCAUGGGGCUUUAAGCUGGGUCCAUGGCAUACAGCAAGUGCUCUUAGGAGGGAACUACCAUAUCUCUGCUCCUCAGAGAAAGUAUUUGCAUUUUUUAAAAAGCAGUCACUCUUUAUCAGAGAAGCUGACAGAGGUCGGAGGAACCCUGCUGAGCUGGCCUAUAGCAAUCUCUGAAUCAAGUCUUCCCAAGAACUAAGGAAGGGCCAGUCAAAAGGGGGGUAGUCACCGAGGCAAAGACCACCAUCUAGAGCAUGCCUUCCUGCUUCGGGGCAGGGAGCUGACAGGAGAGGGAAAGCAAUCCUCCAUGGGUCUAGUUCCCCAUCUGGUAAAAGGCACUGUGAUGGCCUCCCUGGCUGACACAUCCGGGUUCCAGAAAGGGGACUAGCAAAGGGUGAGGACCGCAACGAGUUCAGGCAGGAGCGAGCCCUCUUAAGCAAACACUGGGCACAAAAAUAACUCCCAUUCAAAGCACGAUUUACUGUGUGCCUGGCCGGCCCUCCCAGCACAGAGCCCUUUUCAAACACUCAGCUUCACCCCUGAAUGUGGCUGGGGGAGGGGGCUCAGGAGCACAGCUGCAUUUGAAUUCCACUUUUUCCGGUGGUGUCAGCUUCCUGGAGACUUACCCAGGGGAGCUGCCCAAUAAGGACCGAUCUCAAAGCACCCCCAGAGAGGAGAAAAUCUUUGUAGAAUCCAGUGUCAGCCUCUCAAGGGCAAGGACACCUAGAUCCCUUGGUGGAAUAGGCCUAGCUCAACCGACACUUGUCUGGCAACAGAAAACCCCAGAGCCCUUACCAUUCAUGGAGCACUGCUGCCGCAGACAUCAUCAGCCAUUAGCCUCCCAACAGUUCUAAGAGGAAGGUAUUGGCCGGGGGCAGUGGCUCAUGCCUGUAAUCCCAGCACUUUGAGAGGCCGAGGAGGGCGGGAUAAUUUGAGGUCAGGAGUUCGAGACCAGCCAAACCAACACGGUGAAACGCCGUCUCUACUAAAAAUACAAAAAAAUUAGCCAGGUGUGGUGGCACACACCUGUAGUCCCAGUUACUCGGGAGGCUGAGGCAGGAGAAUUGCUUGAACUCAGGAGGUGGAGGUUGCAGUGAGCCAAGAUCACACCACUGCACUCCAGUCUGGGCGACAGAGUAAGAGUCUAUCUCAAAACAAACAAACAAACAAGCAAACAAACAAACAAAAGUAAUUCACGACCAUUGUAGAAAAGUGAAAAAACAAAUGGAAGAUAAAGAAAGAAAUUAAAACCAUCCAUACGUCCAGUAUCCAGAGCUAACCUCUGUAAAUAUUCUGAUGCAUCCUCCCAGAUUCUGUCCUUGCGUGUGUGCAUGAUAGCCAUGUGUAUACUUACAAUUCUCUGUACAAGAUUAAGAUUGUACUCUGUAGUUUUAUAUCCUG
Molecule: long non-coding RNA, 3880 nt
Filed under: Homo sapiens (human)
Lineage: Eukaryota; Metazoa; Chordata; Mammalia; Primates; Hominidae
Description: HSALNT0297565
Source: RNAcentral